GACGAACGCUGGCGGCGUGCUUAACACAUGCAAGUCGAACGGAAAGGCCCUGCUUUUGUGGGGUGCUCGAGUGGCGAACGGGUGAGUAACACGUGAGUAACCUGCCCUUGACUUUGGGAUAACUUCAGGAAACUGGGGCUAAUACCGGAUAGGAGCUCCUGCUGCAUGGUGGGGGUUGGAAAGUUUCGGCGGUUGGGGAUGGACUCGCGGCUUAUCAGCUUGUUGGUGGGGUAGUGGCUUACCAAGGCUUUGACGGGUAGCCGGCCUGAGAGGGUGACCGGCCACAUUGGGACUGAGAUACGGCCCAGACUCCUACGGGAGGCGGCAGUGGGGAAUAUUGCACAAUGGGCGGAAGCCUUAUGCAGCAACGCCGCGUGCGGGAUGACGGCCUUCGGGUUGUAAACCGCUUUCGCCUGUGACGAAGCGUGAGUGACGGUAAUGGGUAAAGAAGCACCGGCUAACUACGUG
This 468-nucleotide ribosomal RNA is filed under the name uncultured bacterium. RNAcentral's name for it is "partial 16S ribosomal RNA". It matches the Rfam family "Bacterial small subunit ribosomal RNA", at positions 28 to 507 of the family's 1533-position model. The record is from RNAcentral.